GUGAGGAAUAUUGGUCAAUGGGCGUAAGCCUGAACCAGCCAAGUCGCGUGAGGGAUGAAGGUUCUAUGGAUCGUAAACCUCUUUUAUAAGGGAAUAAAGUGUGGGACGUGUCCCGUUUUGUAUGUACCUUAUGAAUAAGGAUCGGCUAACUCCGUGCCAGCAGCCGCGGUAAUACGGAGGAUCCGAGCGUUAUCCGGAUUUAUUGGGUUUAAAGGGUGCGUAGGCGGCCUUUUAAGUCAGCGGUGAAAGUCUGUGGCUCAACCAUAGAAUUGCCGUUGAAACUGGGGGGCUUGAGUAUGUUUGAGGCAGGCGGAAUGCGUGGUGUAGCGGUGAAAUGCAUAGAUAUCACGCAGAACCCCGAUUGCGAAGGCAGCCUGCCAAGCCAUUACUGACGCUGAUGCACGAAAGCGUGGGGAUCAAACAGG
RNAcentral lists this ribosomal RNA (425 nucleotides) under uncultured bacterium. RNAcentral describes it as "bacterial SSU rRNA". It matches the Rfam family "Bacterial small subunit ribosomal RNA", at positions 354 to 776 of the family's 1533-position model. The record is from RNAcentral.